GGUCGCGUGGCCCAAUGGCAAGGCGUCUGACUACGAUUUCGUAGCUCAAUCAGGAGAUUGCGGGUUCGAUCCCCGUCGUGACCU
Molecule: transfer RNA, 84 nt
Organism: Trichosporon asahii var. asahii CBS 8904
Lineage: Eukaryota; Fungi; Basidiomycota; Tremellomycetes; Trichosporonales; Trichosporonaceae
Rfam family: tRNA
About the family: Transfer RNA (tRNA) molecules are approximately 80 nucleotides in length. Their secondary structure includes four short double-helical elements and three loops (D, anti-codon, and T loops).
Source: Rfam